Molecule: long non-coding RNA, 810 nt
Organism: Mauremys reevesii (Reeves's turtle)
Lineage: Eukaryota; Metazoa; Chordata; Testudines; Geoemydidae
Exons: 3
Source: RefSeq, a predicted model, not a curated record
GUUAUUCAGAGGCAUUUCAAGCUUGGAAAGAAACCCAAAUGCCACAACAUGACAGUUGGUGAUUAGACAUGGAAAACAAUCUGUGGAUCUUGUAGACCUGCACAACUCACUGAAGUCUGAGGCAGACAGUGCUGGAGACCCCAAACUCUCCUGAAUCACAGGCAGAGGACGAAACAGUGAAGGGGACUUCUUCCAGGAGCACCUGACACAUUUCAGCAAACACAGUGUGCUAAUACUGAGUGAAAGCCUGUCCAAUCUAUGCAAGAGGAAAAGGAAGCCAAGAGAUGAAGUGUUUACCAACCGAGCAUCCACAAUCCUGCAGUGGUAUAAAAAGAUCAGAGAGAGGAGAGUAAGUCUGAUAAAGAGAAGUGAGAGAAGGCCAGGACUUGUUAGGAACACCUGGUAGGGAUGAUGGAGAACCCUACUGGGAUGGAGCACACAGUAGCACCAUGUCCAAGGAUAGUGCCACAUCCUAGGUGUCUCCUGAUUCCCUCUUCCUCUGCUCACUGGGAUCCCCUUUCACUUUACCACCUCCAAGGAAAAGAGCCUUUCCUCCUCAUUCCAAGGAGAACAAUGUAUACUGGGAGAACCUCUUAUCCCCCACACCCACAAAGGAAAGGCCCUUCUACCACCAUCUCAUACCAUAAGAUGUAGAGAACAUUUUGGACCUCCCCAGGUACACAAAUCUGUGACCUCAAAAGCACAUGUUUCAGAGUUAGGAUUUUCUCUCUUCUUUUUUCAUUUUUGCACAGGGUUUUUAAUUUUGCAUCAUGGUAUGUUUGUGAAUUGUAAAAACCUUUGUUGAACAUU